Molecule: ribosomal RNA, 466 nt
Filed under: uncultured archaeon
Lineage: Archaea
Description: bacterial SSU rRNA
Rfam family: Archaeal small subunit ribosomal RNA
Source: RNAcentral
CACGAAAAGUGUGACAGGGCUAUCCCGAGUGCCAUCCGCUGAGGAAGGCUUUUUACCCCAGUAUAGAUCGCUGGGGGAAUAAGGAGAGGGCAAGUCUGGUGUCAGCCGCCGCGGUAAUACCAGCUCUGGGAGUGGUGUGCCCCCCUCAUUGGGCCUAAAGCAUCCGUAGCUGGCUAAGUUAGUCCCUUGUUAAAUCCACAGAAUUAAUCGUUGGAUUGCGGGGGAUACUGCUUGGCUAGGGGACGAGAGAGGCAGACGGUAUUUCCGGGGUAGGGGUGAAAUCCUAUAAUCCCGGGAAGACCACCAGUGGCGAAGGCUGUCUGCUAGAACGCGCCCGACGGUGAGGGAUGAAAGCUGGGGGAGCGAACCGGACCCCCCUACCCGGGUAGUCCCAGCUGUAAACGAUGCAGUUUUAGGAGUAUUUGUUCGGCCACGUGCCGUUCUAGUGCCGCAGGGAAGCUGUUAA